UAGGGAAUAUUGGACAAUGGGCGCAAGCCUGAUCCAGCCAUGCCGCGUGAGUGAAGAAGGCCCUCGGGUUGUAAAGCUCUUUUGUCCGGAAAGAAAAGCAUUCGGUUAAUACCCGGGUGUUCUGACGGUACCGGAAGAAUAAGCACCGGCUAACUUCGUGCCAGCAGCCGCGGUAAUACGAAGGGUGCAAGCGUUACUCGGAAUUACUGGGCGUAAAGCGUGCGUAGGUGGUUUGUUAAGUCUGAUGUGAAAGCCCUGGGCUCAACCUGGGAAUGGCAUUGGAUACUGGCAGGCUAGAGUGUGGCAGAGGGUAGUGGAAUUCCUGGUGUAGCAGUGAAAUGCGUAGAGAUCAGGAGGAACAUCCGUGGCGAAGGCGACUGCCUGGGCCAACACUGACACUGAGGCACGAAAGCGUGGGGAGCAAACA
This 427-nucleotide ribosomal RNA is filed under the name uncultured prokaryote. RNAcentral's name for it is "bacterial SSU rRNA". It matches the Rfam family "Bacterial small subunit ribosomal RNA", at positions 355 to 774 of the family's 1533-position model. The record is from RNAcentral.